AUAAUGAAACUUUUACCUAGUCACAGCUUGAGCGUUGAAGUCAGAGUAAUCGACUGAUGAGCCGUCGCACGCAAUGAAGGUAACUCGGCAAAAUUGCGGAGUGGUGAAAUUCCAAUGA
RNAcentral lists this non-coding RNA (118 nucleotides) under unclassified sequences. RNAcentral's name for it is "pemK RNA". It matches the Rfam family "pemK RNA". The record is from RNAcentral.